Molecule: ribosomal RNA, 746 nt
Filed under: bacterium EAB-M9.04
Lineage: Bacteria
Description: bacterial SSU rRNA
Rfam family: Bacterial small subunit ribosomal RNA
Source: RNAcentral
CUCAGGAACGAACGCUGGCGGCGUGCCUAAUACAUGCAAGUCGAGCGGACAGAAGGGAGCUUGCUCCCGGAUGUUAGCGGCGGACGGGUGAGUAACACGUGGGUAACCUGCCUGUAAGACUGGGAUAACUCCGGGAAACCGGAGCUAAUACCGGAUAGUUCCUUGAACCGCAUGGUUCAAGGAUGAAAGACGGUUUCGGCUGUCACUUACAGAUGGGACCCGCGGCGCAUUAGCUAGUUGGUGGGGUAAUGGCUCACCAAGGCGACGAUGCGUAGCCGACCUGAGAGGGUGAUCGGCCACACUGGGACUGAGACACGGCCCAGACUCCUACGGGAGGCAGCAGUAGGGAAUCUUCCGCAAUGGACGAAAGUCUGACGGAGCAACGCCGCGUGAGUGAUGAAGGUUUUCGGAUCGUAAAGCUCUGUUGUUAGGGAAGAACAAGUGCGAGAGUAACUGCUCGCACCUUGACGGUACCUAACCAGAAAGCCACGGCUAACUACGUGCCAGCAGCCGCGGUAAUACGUAGGUGGCAAGCGUUGUCCGGAAUUAUUGGGCGUAAAGGGCUCGCAGGCGGUUUCUUAAGUCUGAUGUGAAAGCCCCCGGCUCAACCGGGGAGGGUCAUUGGAAACUGGGAAACUUGAGUGCAGAAGAGGAGAGUGGAAUUCCACGUGUAGCGGUGAAAUGCGUAGAGAUGUGGAGGAACACCAGUGGCGAAGGCGACUCUCUGGUCUGUAACUACGCUAGAG